RNAcentral lists this ribosomal RNA (481 nucleotides) under Staphylococcus saccharolyticus. RNAcentral's name for it is "bacterial LSU rRNA". It matches the Rfam family "Bacterial large subunit ribosomal RNA", at positions 961 to 1447 of the family's 2925-position model. Lineage: Bacteria; Bacillati; Bacillota; Bacilli; Caryophanales; Staphylococcaceae. The record is from RNAcentral.
UGCCAAUCAAUUUAACUUGGGAGUCAGAACAUGGGUGAUAAGGUCCGUGUUCGAAAGGGAAACAGCCCAGACCACCAGCUAAGGUCCCAAAAUAUAUGUUAAGUGGAAAAGGAUGUGGCGUUGCCCAGACAACUAGGAUGUUGGCUUAGAAGCAGCCAUCAUUUAAAGAGUGCGUAAUAGCUCACUAGUCGAGUGACACUGCGCCGAAAAUGUACCGGGGCUAAACAUAUUACCGAAGCUGUGGAUUGUCCUUCGGACAAUGGUAGGAGAGCGUUCUAAGGGCGUUGAAGCAUGAUCGCAAGGACAUGUGGAGCGCUUAGAAGUGAGAAUGCCGGUGUGAGUAGCGAAAGACGGGUGAGAAUCCCGUCCACCGAUUGACUAAGGUUUCCAGAGGAAGGCUCGUCCGCUCUGGGUUAGUCGGGUCCUAAGCUGAGGCCGACAGGCGUAGGCGAUGGAUAACAGGUUGAUAUUCCUGUACCAC